GUAAGUAAAAGUCGUAACAAGGUCUCCGUUGGUGAACCAGCGGAGGGAUCAUUACAGAGUUGCAAAACUCCCAAACCAUUGUGAACGUUACCUAUCCCGUUGCUUCGGCGGGCGGCCCGGGCCCCGCGCCCGGCGCCCCCCGGCCCCCCGUGGGCGCCCGCCGGAGGUAAACCAAACCCUUGAAUUGCAUGGCCUCUCUGAGUCUUCUGUACUGAAUAAGUCAAAACUUUCAACAACGGAUCUCUUGGUUCUG
Molecule: unclassified non-coding RNA, 253 nt
Filed under: plant metagenome
Description: partial contains small subunit ribosomal RNA, internal transcribed spacer 1, and 5.8S ribosomal RNA
Rfam family: Eukaryotic small subunit ribosomal RNA (bases 1-54)
Source: RNAcentral